AAGUCGUAACAAGGUCUCCGUAGGUGAACCUGCGGAGGGAUCAUUAACACGUUUUAAAACACGUUUUAACACAACCAACCAACCACGUGAACUAUUUAACACUCCUGGAAGAAAAGAAUUCUGUCUCUUCUCAUCAUCAAUGAGUUGUGUAAUACUUUGUGCGCAAGCACAAUUACUUACAUUUCGGUGAGUCUAGACUAGCAUUGCAGUUAAGAGCUGACUUGUAAAGACCUUUUCUUUUGGGCUAAAUGCGUCCCUCAUUGCUGGCGCGAAAACACCCCUUUCACCACUUCUAUAACCAUUGACUGAUCUUUCUCUUCUUCUCUACUAUGGCAACAUAGUCUUGAAGCAAUUGAAAACCUAAUCAAAUAUCUAAGCACAACUCUUAGCAACGGAUAUCUUGGUUCUC
Molecule: unclassified non-coding RNA, 409 nt
Filed under: fungal sp.
Lineage: Eukaryota; Fungi
Description: partial internal transcribed spacer region
Rfam family: Eukaryotic small subunit ribosomal RNA (bases 1-46)
Source: RNAcentral